GCCCACUGCCGCACGGGGGCGGGGACAGGCUUUGCUCCGAGGCUCGCCACGCCCCGCUUCACAACCUCUGCAACCCAGGCAUGGGCAUUACUAACAAGCUCCAGAGCAUGUUAAAGAAAAAGUCACGAAGCACAAGCACAGACCUCCCUAAGAAUGCUCCCAGAAUUAUGGAGACUUGUACCAAAUGAAGCUGAAGAGAGAACUCUUAAUGAUGGAGAACUGUUGGAAACAGGACUGGGAAGGGCUGAUCUGUGACUUCUAGCAAAUAACACAACUAUGUCUCCAGAACUGAGUGGAUACUGAGACCCUGUAAGCUCAGACCUGCCCAACCUAGAAGAGGAAAUAGCCUUGGGGAUGUCACUGUGUCCCUGCCAAUGGCCCAAGGCUCAUUAAGCUAAAUGUUUUCUGGAGAAUGUGGUUUUGCUUUAUAACAUCUGUGGAGAGAGACUACCUGUAUAUCACAGGAAGCACACCAGGACAGACUACACCAUGAACACACUGACAGCAAUACUCCACUCAGAGGGCCCCCGGUAAAAGGCAAGAUGGUCUGUCACAAAGAUACUAAUGUUACCAAAAUGAAGUAGAGGAGCCAGUCGGUACCAGUCACUGCAGUUAUCAAGGAGAUCAAAAUACCUCUGCUCAUCCUUAAAAAUGGUGAAAGGAAAAUAAAUUAUGAGAUUUUAGCAAUCUAAGGAGAAAGUUAUAGAAUUGCACAUCAUUCAGAAGUCAGAGCUUAACACCUCAAAGCUCUUUAGUGGAUUUUGUGCUUCUUAUUGUCAGGUCUAGAUACCUAGUAAGAAAGAUGAAUAUGCCAUUAUGCAUUUUAGGUUAACAGUCGAGUAUGAUGUAAAGAAGACCUUAAUAGGGAAGAAAUCUGAAUUUCCCUUAAAAAUAACAAGCAAAUAGUUGGACAAAUGGAAUGGCUUGUGUUGGUAGAAGUCAACUUAUUUCUCGAAAAAAAAAAAAAAAGGUAAAAUGUUAUCUUUU
This is a non-coding RNA of Arvicanthis niloticus (Nile rat), 987 nucleotides long. Lineage: Eukaryota; Metazoa; Chordata; Mammalia; Rodentia; Muridae. The record is from RefSeq and is a predicted model, not a curated record.